Molecule: long non-coding RNA, 1011 nt
Filed under: Homo sapiens (human)
Lineage: Eukaryota; Metazoa; Chordata; Mammalia; Primates; Hominidae
Description: HSALNT0185665
Source: RNAcentral
GACUUAGACUCCAUUCUAGAUUUUGCCUCUGACUGACUUUAAGCUAGUUUUCUUCAGGAGAAGGACGCAAAAUAACACUUUUCUUUUAAAGAAUUGUUAUGCUAAUCUCCGUGGGGGAACAGAUGUAAUUACUUACUAUUCUUCACAGUCCCAAACAUCUUGAAUUUGCUGUGGCUUGGAAGGCAAACAAAUCUUCACAGCCUCUCUUACUGUGAUUCCGCUGCAAAGACUCCCUUGGAGCGGGCAGAAGAGGCUACCAGUCACCUUCCUCAUGGUGGGCAGUCUUCUGUUUCCAAUGGGAAAUGCAUGGAGAAACAAAGCAGUGAAGUACCUGGAGGGCAGCCGUGCUAAGGUAAGGCAAAAACCAAGCCCUAGUCCUUCUCUCACUUUCAAGUCUUCUUAAGGGAGGAAGAGAUUUGAUAGAUUAUCCACUAAAUUUCAUUGGGACAGUCACUAGGGGCUGGAUGGGUGGAAGUCAUUUUAUAUAAGGCCAAAUCAAAGAUUUUUAAAACAAGUUAAGGAUAAAGAAAAGUAAAAGGCGGAAGAUGAUAAAUGAGAAGUAACUUGGAAUCACAUUAAAUACAGCCAUCACAGUAAAAAAAAAAAAAAAAAAAAAAAUCUAUUGAGCUCUUGCUGGGAUUGAACAGAGAUGACCAGUUUAAUAAUUCAAUGGGCCUAGAACAAUGGCCCAAACUUGUAAUCCUAGCACUUUGGGAGGCUGAGGAAGGAGGAUCACUUGAGUUCAAGAGUUCAAGACCAGCCUGGACAACAUGUCUCUACAAAUAAUUUAAAAAGUAGCCGGGCAUGGUGGUGCAUGCCUGUGGUCCCAGCUACUCAGAAGGCUGAGGCAGGAGGAUCAUGUGAGCCCAGGAGGUCAAGGAAGCAGUGAGCUGUGACUGUGCCCCUGCACUCCAGCCUGGGUGACACAGCGAUAUUCUGUCAAAAAAAAAAAAAUAAUGGAACGAUUUGUAAAAAACAAACAAACAAAAAAGCAAGUAGAAAAUAUCAGAG